RNAcentral lists this unclassified non-coding RNA (237 nucleotides) under plant metagenome. RNAcentral describes it as "partial contains small subunit ribosomal RNA, internal transcribed spacer 1, and 5.8S ribosomal RNA". The record is from RNAcentral.
UUUCCGUAGGUGAACCUGCGGAAGGAUCAUUACCGAGUGAGGGUCUUUCAGGCCCGAUCUCCCACCCUGUGUUUUUGUGACCUUGUUGCUCUGGCGGGUCCUCCUCGAGGAGAGGCCGCCGGAAGCUCACCGCUGUUGGCCCGUGUCCGCCAGUAGCCCCCUUAAAUUUUUAAUAAACCUCUCGAUCGAGACUUUAUAUAAUAAAAAAAACUUUCAACAACGGAUCACUUGGUUCUG